This is an RNA transcript of Ziziphus jujuba (common jujube), 2880 nucleotides long. It is a transcript of the gene named splicing factor U2af small subunit A, with no coding region annotated. NCBI's taxonomy places the organism in Eukaryota, Viridiplantae, Streptophyta, Magnoliopsida, Rosales, Rhamnaceae. The transcript has 2 exons. The record is from RefSeq and is a predicted model, not a curated record.
UAAAGUUUUGUAAACUGGAUUGGAGGAUCCAAGCCCUUUGUUUUCCGAAAAUCUACAGUAGAACCUUCGAGAAGUCAAAAUUCUGGGUCCGAUCGGUUGAAGGUGAGGCUUGAGGCAUUCGGCUUGAGGCUUGGGGCUUCUGGCUUUCGGCUUUCGGCUUUCGGCUUUGCUAUAUUGGAUUUCUUUCUUUGUUCUCUGGGUUCAACGUUCCAGCUUUAACACCGCGCAAACUCAAAUCACAAAACCCUAGUGUCAGUGAGAUUUGAUUGCAUAGUAAGAUAAGGAAAAGCAAAAAAGGCAUAUGGCGGAGCACUUGGCUUCGAUCUUCGGGACAGAGAGGGACCGUGUGAACUGCCCCUUCUAUUUCAAGAUCGGGGCGUGCCGGCAUGGAGACCGGUGCUCUCGGCUUCACAACCGGCCGACGAUCUCACCGACGCUGCUGUUGUCGAACAUGUACCAGAGGCCCGACAUGAUAACCCCGGGGGUGGACGCGCAGGGCCAGCCCAUCGACCCGCGUAAAAUCCAGGAACACUUCGAGGACUUCUACGAGGACAUCUUCGAGGAGCUGGGGAAAUUCGGAGAGAUUGAGAGCCUCAACGUAUGCGACAAUCUCGCUGAUCAUAUGAUAGGGAAUGUCUACGUCCAGUUCAAGGAAGAAGAGCAAGCCGCCGCUGCUCUGCAAGCCCUCCAGGGACGCUUCUACAAUGGUCGCCCCAUCAUAGCCGACUUCUCGCCCGUCACCGACUUCCGUGAAGCCACUUGUCGCCAGUUUGAGGAGAAUAACUGCAACCGAGGUGGCUAUUGUAAUUUCAUGCACGUCAAAUUGAUCGGCAGGGAUUUGAGGAGGAAGCUCUAUGGCAGGUACCGUGGCAGCCGCAGCCGCAGCCGCAGCUUAAGCCCCCGCCGUCAUUGGAGAGAUUAUGAUCGCAGAGACAGAGAUUACCGGGACCGGGACCGUGACUAUCGCAGCAGGGACAGGCACGAUAGGUACUCCGAACGAGAUACUGGUAGAAGAAGACACAGCAGCCCCAGGCGGAGCAGUACUAGGAGUCCUGUGAGGGAAGGCAGCGAGGAGCGCCGUGCCAGAAUUGAGCAAUGGAAUCGAGAAAGGGAGGAAAGGCAGUGAUCAUCUUUUUUUUUUGUUUUUUCCUUUCUUCUCUUGUCUUUUCUUUUCCAAUUGAGUUGAAGAAAGGGUGACCUGUUACUUGCAUUGGACUAGUAAUCUUGGCUGAGGUUCAUGUUCAAGCACUGGAUCAUGCUAAGUACACUUGUCUAGUGCAAGCCUAUAAAAGUUACUUGUGAAUUUUUCCUUGGGAUGCCUGUUGGUAAUUUGUAUUGUUGGUUUCUAGGUAACUCUGAAAGAUAGAAGGGUAAAAGCUACUUUUCGUUCUUUUACAAUCUUAUUAUUAGGCUUGUUUUAGCCUUACAGGAGGAAAGUUGUCAGAGGUCCCCUCCUUACAAGCUGCCAAGCUUUUCUACAUCUGUCUUUUCAGAUUUCAUUUUGUGUACGGUCAUCGUUGUCAUGAAACUCUAUCGAUUGAGGGUUUGGGGUCUUUGUUCUCACUUUUAUGCAUGAAUUUAUUUGUCUUUUAGGAGACAAUUCAAAUGAUGCCAAUACUAAGACAUUUUGAAUGUGGUACCAUUUUCAGUUUUGUUGCUGUUGAGAUAUAGAGUAAGUUAUGGAGUGAAUCAAAUUUUAAAAUGACAUCCCCUGUGGCACUUGUCUUAUAGACAUCAUUCAUGAUGUUUGUUCGUUACUUAUCUUCGAGGGGUAUCCAAGUUUUACCUACAGAAUGCUAUUCAGUGUGUAUCUGUCUUCUUUUCAUACAAUAAUGGUCUAAAGAGUCGAAAGGAGUAACAUUAUAUUAGUGCCAUGGUGUACUAGAAGUAUGGUGGAAUUUUCAUUUCUAUCACGUUUUGCUGGAUCUUAAAUUGCUAGUUUAUGUCAGUUUUUGAGUAUCUAGUUGGGAUUGGGCCUGCUAAUAUGUAUGUUAUUUCAAUUUUUAGGUAUCUUCUGGAGGCAUAGAGCUAAGUGCUCAGAGGAACGAGGAGUAUCUUUUAUUCGUAAUUCUUGAUGCCUUCCCCACCUGUCCUAUUGUUGUACCUUAUUCAUUUUCCUACUUCUGGCUAAUGAUUCUACAUUUAUGCUUUUAGGGUCUGACAUCAUAGCCUCUGAAACUGGGUUUGCAGAACUCAAAGCUGGUCAGAACAUUGGAUAAGAAGUUCAGUUACUACAUCAAGUCUGUUUCUAGUUUUCUUUCUUGUAGGUAUAAAAAGGGGUAGGUAUAAAAAGGGGGAGGUGUCGACCAUCGCAGCUUGUUUUAUGGUUGGAUUCGAAGUAGGUAGCUUGAAACCCCGUUUUCGUUUAUGUUUAGAUACUAAUUCCCCAUUCUUCCCAUUCGGAUUUCUUCCCGUAUUUAUCUACAUAUAGGCCAUGCAAUGUUGCUGCAGUUGUAGGUUUCUACCUGUUAAGUCCGAGGCCUUCACAUGAGCGUCUGGCACAGUUUGAUCAUAUGAUAAGGUAGUAUUGAUUGCUUUUCUUAUGUGUGUGUUACUGGGUUGGUUGGUAGGGAAGUGAAGUCUCCGGCAUCUUAGGCUGUUGUACCAGCAACGAUUUGGCUCUGUGGUCGAUGGAAGUGAGUGCGAUAGAGUUUUGUUGAUGUUUUCAACUUGUAAUCCGUGAAAUGGCAUUCUGAUCAAGAAGCGUAAAAUAUUUUUUUAUUUAUGUGUUCUUUCUUUGGUACAAGGAAGAUAAUCGUUCUAUGUUGUUAAUCAUAGUAUCCACAUGUAAUAAUUUGGAAUGUUAAAUUGAUUAUUUCAUUUUGUUUUAUUGAAGACAAUAAAUAUACGUAGUGGGGGAUUGAUAUUUGAUGGUAACCA